UUUAUUUGGAGAGUUUGAUCCUGGCUCAGGACGAACGCUGGCGGCGUGCUUAACACAUGCAAGUUGUGCGAGAAAGCUACCUUCGGGUAGUGAGUAGAGCGGCGGACGGGUGAGUAACGCGUGAGUAAUCUACCUUUAAGUUGGGGAUAACUAUUCGAAAGAGUAGCUAAUACCCGAUAUUAUAUCGACAACAUAAGUUGUCGAUAUGAAAGAUGGCUUUGCUAUCGCUUAAAGAUGAGCUCGCGUCCCAUUAGCUAGUUGGUGAGAUAACAGCUUACCAAGGCAACAAUGGGUAGCCGACCUGAGAGGGUGAUCGGCCACACUGGGACUGAGACACGGCCCAGACUCCUACGGGAGGCUGCAGUGGGGAAUCUUCCGCAAUGGGCGAAAGCCUGACGGAGCAACGCCGCGUGAGUGAUGAAGGUCUUCGGAUCGUAAAGCUCUGUCUUUAGGGAAGAACACUUUGGUUGUGAAUAACUGCCAGAGCUGACGGUACCUUUAGAGGAAGCUCCGGCUAACUACGUGCCAGCAGCCGCGGUAAUACGUAGGGAGCAAGCGUUGUCCGGAAUUAUUGGGCGUAAAGGGUGCGUAGGCGGUCUAGUAAGUCAAAUGUGAAAUUCAUCGGCUCAACCGAUGACCUGCCUUUGAAACUACUAGACUUGAGGGUAAGAGAAGAGAUCGGAAUUCCUAGUGUAGCGGUGAAAUGCGUAGAUAUUAGGAAGAAUACCAGUGGCGAAAGCGGAUCUCUGGCUUACACCUGACGCUGAGGCACGAAAGCUGGGGGAGCAAACCGGAUUAGAUACCCGGGUAGUCCCAGCCGUAAACGUUGGACACUAGGUGUUGGAGGUUCGACUCCUUCGGUGCCGCAGUUAACGCAAUAAGUGUCCCGCCUGGGGAUUACGACCGCAAGGUUGAAACUCAAAGGAAUUGACGGGGGCCCGCACAAGCGGCGGAGCAUGUGGUUUAAUUCGAAGCAACGCGAAGAACCUUACCAGGGCUUGACAUCCCGUGACUAUCUGUGAAGAACAGAGUCUAGCCUUUUGGCUACACGGAGACAGGUGGUGCAU
Molecule: ribosomal RNA, 1067 nt
Filed under: Candidatus Frackibacter sp. WG12
Lineage: Bacteria; Bacillati; Bacillota; Clostridia; Halanaerobiales; Halobacteroidaceae
Description: bacterial SSU rRNA
Rfam family: Bacterial small subunit ribosomal RNA
Source: RNAcentral